AUUUAUAUAGUUUAUAUUAAAACAUUACAUUUUCAAUGUAAAAAAAAAAAUUUUUUUUUAUAAAUA
Molecule: transfer RNA, 66 nt
Filed under: Bhutanitis thaidina
Lineage: Eukaryota; Metazoa; Arthropoda; Insecta; Lepidoptera; Papilionidae
Description: tRNA-Glu
Source: RNAcentral